This is a long non-coding RNA of Chlorocebus sabaeus (green monkey), 1364 nucleotides long. RefSeq lists it as uncharacterized. Lineage: Eukaryota; Metazoa; Chordata; Mammalia; Primates; Cercopithecidae. The record is from RefSeq and is a predicted model, not a curated record.
GCCAUUGCACUCCAGUCUGGGCGACAGGACGAGACUCUGUCUCAAAAAAAAAAAAGAUAGGAUGACAACACUGCCUGUCUCACUGGAUUCUUGUGAGGAUUAAACUGGUUACUGUUUUUAACGUACUUGGAAGAGUUUGUGGUCCUGUGUUUGUUAAAUGUAUGCAAAUUAACUGCCCGGCUCACCUAUGCCUGGUAUUAUGCAAGGGGCUUCACAUCAGUUACCUUGUUUGGUCUUUACCACAUCCUCAUGAGCUUGGAAUGACUAUUAUUAGGGAAAGUGGACCCAAGAAGGUCCAGUUCCUUGCCCGAGGUCACACAGCUGGUAAAAGGCAGAGCGAAGGUUGAAACUCAGAAUGGUCUGUCUCCAGGACCGGGGCUCUCCACCACUCAGCUCUGCCUAUUCCAGGGCUGCAACCUCUCUACGGAGGUGAAGCAUCUACUGGAUCACUUUUGACCAACAGCGCAUCAGCCGGCAGAGGGAUGAGGGGUGAACCAAGAAGGGCCCCUUCCCCCUCAGGCCGGAGAGAUUCCUCUGACUAAUUUACUGGGUGACUCCGAUGGCAAACUGCAGCCCUGUUCCCUCCAGCUGAGUAAGCUCCGUUGUGGGGUUCUAGAGAGAGGGGGUUUCUGGUGUGGGCAGCUCCCAAAGCCAGAUCAGGGCUUGACUGUGUUUGCCUGGGUAGGGGCACUGCCAAGGGAGCAGGGCCACCCCCAGAUGGCCUCCAGGACCAAGGCACAGGAGCUGGGAGACCCGGGUCCCCGUGCAGCUUCCCUGGGUGUGGGUGGUGGCUGCAGCCUAGGGUGUUUUGCUCACUCUCAUUUUCUGUUUUGUCCCAACAGGACUCCGCCGUCUUACUCAUGAUUGGGUCCCCUGGGCAGAGCCAGGGCCUGGCAGACAGCAGAUGUCCAGUAAAUACCUCUUGGCCCUAAGAAAGACUGGGAACACUCACGCAGUGGGAACACCUUCCUGUGUGUUAUCUCGUCUCAUCCUCACAGCAGCCCAGAGAGCGACCGCAGGUGCACACAGAUCUGAGGCCCUGAUCUGUUCCACUCUCUUUAUGCCAAACAGAGGAGGGACGCGAACCCCAGCAUGAAACGGCGCCCACAACCACAAGGCCCGGUGUGCGCCCUCUGAAACCGUAGGUUUUCCUGGGAAAGGAGCCUUUGAUGGUGGAUGUCUUCAUGGCACAUGUGAGGACCAUCAUUACCAAAUCUCCCUUCAUCUGUUUGGAGUUCCCUGCAUCAGUCCAUGAUUCCUUAUUGGGCAAGCUGGACUGGAGGAGGUCACAAUGGGGUUGGAGGAGACCAUCACUGGGACCGAGAUGGGAGGAAACUGGAGCUUGGACCCUUGGAACUAAAGAC